This 90-nucleotide transfer RNA is filed under the name Alphaproteobacteria bacterium CG1_02_46_17. RNAcentral describes it as "tRNA-Ser". It matches the Rfam family "tRNA". Rfam says of the family: Transfer RNA (tRNA) molecules are approximately 80 nucleotides in length. Their secondary structure includes four short double-helical elements and three loops (D, anti-codon, and T loops). Lineage: Bacteria; Pseudomonadati; Pseudomonadota; Alphaproteobacteria. The record is from RNAcentral.
GGAGAGGUGGUCGAGUGGUUUAAGGCUACGGUCUUGAAAACCGUCGUAGGGGUAACCCUACCGUGGGUUCGAAUCCCACCCUCUCCGCCA